CGUAGGUGGCAAGCGUUGUCCGGAAUUAUUGGGCGUAAAGCGCGCGCAGGCGGUUCCUUAAGUCUGAUGUGAAAGCCCCCGGCUCAACCGGGGAAGGUCAUUGGAAACUGGGGAACUUGAGUGCAGAAGAGAAGAGCGGAAUUCCACGUGUAGCGGUGAAAUGCGUAGAGAUGUGGAGGAACACCAGUGGCGAAGGCGGCUCUUUGGUCUGUAACUGACGCUGAGGCGCGAAAGCGUGGGGAGCAAACAGGAUUAGAUACCCUGGUAGUCCACGCCGUAAACGAUGAGUGCUAAGUGUUAGAGGGUUUCCGCCCUUUAGUGCUGCAGCUAACGCAUUAAGCACUCCGCCUGGGGAGUACGGCCGCAAGGCUG
This 372-nucleotide ribosomal RNA is filed under the name uncultured organism. Its description in RNAcentral is "bacterial SSU rRNA". It matches the Rfam family "Bacterial small subunit ribosomal RNA", at positions 526 to 896 of the family's 1533-position model. The record is from RNAcentral.